CCUACGGGAGGCAGCAGUGAGGAAUAUUGGUCAAUGGACGAGAGUCUGAACCAGCCAAGUAGCGUGAAGGAUGACUGCCCUAUGGGUUGUAAACUUCUUUUAUAUGGGAAUAAAACGUUCCACGUGUGGGAUUUUGUAUGUACCAUAUGAAUAAGGAUCGGUUAACUCCGUGCCAGCAGCCGCGGUAAUACGGAGGAUCCGAGCGUUAUCCGGAUUUAUUGGGUUUAAAGGGAGCGUAGGUGGAUUGUUAAGUCAGUUGUGAAAGUUUGCGGCUCAACCGUAAAAUUGCAGUUGAAACUGGCAGUCUUGAGUACAGUAGAGGUGUGCGGAAUUCGUGGUGUAGCGGUGAAAUGCUUAGAUAUCACGAAGAACUCCGAUUGCGAAGGCAGUUCACUGGACUGCAACUGACACUGAGGCUCGAAAGUGUGGGUAUCAAACAGGAUUAGAUACCCCUGUAGUC
This 460-nucleotide ribosomal RNA is filed under the name uncultured bacterium. RNAcentral describes it as "partial 16S ribosomal RNA". It matches the Rfam family "Bacterial small subunit ribosomal RNA", at positions 338 to 795 of the family's 1533-position model. The record is from RNAcentral.